GUCUCUAUGGCGCAAUCGGUUUGCGCGUUCGGCUGCUAAACGAAAGGUUGGUGGUUCGAACACACUCAGAGACG
Molecule: non-coding RNA, 74 nt
Organism: Pundamilia nyererei
Lineage: Eukaryota; Metazoa; Chordata; Actinopteri; Cichliformes; Cichlidae
Source: the annotation of a RefSeq genome assembly